This 373-nucleotide ribosomal RNA is filed under the name uncultured bacterium. Its description in RNAcentral is "bacterial SSU rRNA". It matches the Rfam family "Bacterial small subunit ribosomal RNA", at positions 523 to 898 of the family's 1533-position model. The record is from RNAcentral.
AUACGGAGGAUCCGAGCGUUAUCCGGAUUUAUUGGGUUUAAAGGGUGCGUAGGCGGAAGAAUAAGUCAGUGGUGAAAGUUUGCAGCUCAACUGUAAAAUUGCCAUUGAAACUGUUUUUCUUGAGUGUAAAUGAGGUAGGCGGAAUGUGUUGUGUAGCGGUGAAAUGCUUAGAUAUGACACAGAACACCGAUUGCGAAGGCAGCUUACUAAGAUACAACUGACGCUGAGGCACGAAAGCGUGGGGAUCGAACAGGAUUAGAUACCCUGGUAGUCCACGCAGUAAACGAUGAUUACUAGCUGUUUGCGAUAUACUGUAAGUGGCUAAGCGAAAGCGAUAAGUAAUCCACCUGGGGAGUACGUUCGCAAGAAUGAA